RNAcentral lists this ribosomal RNA (496 nucleotides) under uncultured bacterium. Its description in RNAcentral is "partial 16S ribosomal RNA". It matches the Rfam family "Bacterial small subunit ribosomal RNA", at positions 28 to 506 of the family's 1533-position model. The record is from RNAcentral.
GACGAACGCUGGCGGCGUGCCUAAUACAUGCAAGUAGAACGCUGAAGCUUGGUGCUUGCACCGAGCGGAUGAGUUGCGAACGGGUGAGUAACGCGUAGGUAACCUGCCUGGUAGCGGGGGAUAACUAUUGGAAACGAUAGCUAAUACCGCAUAACAGUAGAUAUCGCAUGAUAGCUACUUGAAAGGUGCAAAUGCACCACUACCAGAUGGACCUGCGUUGUAUUAGCUAGUUGGUGAGGUAACGGCUCACCAAGGCAACGAUACAUAGCCGACCUGAGAGGGGGAACGGCCCAACUGGGAAUGGAACACGGCCCAGACUCCGGCGGGAGGAAGCAGUGGGGAAUCUUCGGCAAUGGACGGAAUUUUGACCGAGCAACGCCGGGGGGGUGAAGAAGGUUUUGGGUUCUAAAAGCUUUGUUUUAAGAGAAGAACGGUGGGGGGGGGGGAAAGUUCACACUGUGACGGUAUUUUACCAGAAAGGGACGGAUAACUACGU